Bombus pascuorum is the source of this 1832-nucleotide long non-coding RNA. RefSeq lists it as uncharacterized. Lineage: Eukaryota; Metazoa; Arthropoda; Insecta; Hymenoptera; Apidae. The record is from RefSeq and is a predicted model, not a curated record. The transcript has 3 exons.
AACAUAGGUCUCAUGUAUAAUUACUUACUAACCUAUAAUUCUAUGACGAAUGACAAUUCAUAGAUUUGACUUUUAUUACAUAAGUAGAAUAAAACAAGAAGAUUUAUAAUUUUAAUUGUACAAAGUAUUUUUACUUUUUGCUUUUUGUACUCUAACUGUAGGUUUUUAGUAGGAUAGCUUUUAGUGUUUAUGUGAGAUUUAUAUACUUCCUAUUAAAGGAAGCACGGGAAGAGGAAUGUUUGAAUAGCGGAAGAUUAUCUUUAACCAAAUAAAGAUAUCGCGUUAACAUUAGUGAAAUCAAAAUAACGGGGAUACGUUUCACCGAUUUGUUAAGAGAUUUUACUUUAUUACAGGAUUUCAUAUACGAUACCUUGUAUACUUGCGUAAUAAAAUGGAGAAUUUCAUAAAAAGUAGGAUUAAUCAAUUUAUCUUCUGAUAGGUUCAAAUAUAGAAUCUGAUAACAAAUGCUUUAUUAGAAAAUAAUGUUCUGUCAACGAAAUUUCAAGACGGUUGCCGGAUGGAUCGUCCUCGCAAGGUAAUUCGGAAAAGGAUGUUAUUCCUCGGGCGUGAAAAGUGUUCACUUGUAGCUAUUACGCGUUAUAUAUUGCGCCUGGCUGUAAUGCUUGGUGAAAGGGUUAAAACCCCGGACAGAACGAAUACAUUUCGCCCCGAUGGAGAAGGGGAACAGGAAGCUAAGACGUUUAUUAUAAAGGGAAAGAGAAACGGAACGACGUAAACUGUGCGCCAUUUACAUACAAUAUAUCCACGAGUAAACCCGCAUUUUCUACUGUAUGUGACAUCUAGGUCCUUUGCGACAGUCCAGGAGACGAAAUGUUUCGCCCGCGCGAUGAUUUACAUCGCAAACACUCGAUGCAUGAAUGUGUUCCUAGCCACGCAAACAACAAGAAAAGCUUCAUUGAAAAAGCAGUGACAUGUCGACCGAAGAAAUUUCAAUCUAUAUCGUUGAAUCUCGGAUGCAAAUGUUUGAUCCUUUUAAAUAUGGCUUUCGUCAAUGGACGACGAAACGAAAAUUUCAGUGAGUGGUAUUAAAAUCUUAAAUGAUUUUGAGAUGAAAGAAUCGCUUAUUGAAGACUCUAUUUUAUGAUAAUUAUAUAAAUAAUUAUAGCUUUGUGUUUAUACUAUAAAAUUGGGAACGAUUUAUGGAAUUAUACCCGUAUUUAAAGGGUUACAAUACAAAGGGCUACAAUAACCAGAUAGCAAGUUUCGUGGAUCGAAUCUAUUAAUACGCUCGGUCGAUAAAUUAUCGAGCAAGUUAACUGCAUAACUGACUUUGUCAGAAUUAGGAGGUAAUCGACAAUUUAACAAAUUUUCGAGUAUAAGAAUGUAUUAUUUUAUGAAAUCGCUUUUCGUCCACGUUUUCUGAAUAAAAAUAGUUGACGAAAAGCGGAAAAGGAAUAUCAUGAAUAUCUAUGGGAACAUUGAAAUUCUAAGAGGUUAGGAUCUCUUAACGGAAGACUCUCGGACGGAAGUUCUUGUCAAACAUGAAAAAAGGCUAAUGCAUAAUGUAGAAAAAGAGAAAGGAAACGAAGAUAAACGCCUGGUGGUGACAUGUAUGCAAAUCGCUCGUGAUCGGACGUGUAGAGUGCAUCAAUCAAAUUUUGGAUGUCAUGAUUUGUGUUACUGUAAUGUAUAAAUAAUCGAACGUUUCUUUAAAUAUUCCUAACUUGUAGAAUACAAGAAUGAUAUGUAUAUAUUCUUCAAUACAUUUUUAUAUUUUGAUGAAAGAAUAUCAUUCUGAAUUUCAAGUCCAAAAUAGAGAAACUAUUAAACGUUAUAUUAAAACCGAUUAAAUUAAAAUAUACUUAAACCUG